Molecule: ribosomal RNA, 380 nt
Filed under: uncultured bacterium
Lineage: Bacteria
Description: bacterial SSU rRNA
Rfam family: Bacterial small subunit ribosomal RNA
Source: RNAcentral
GACGAACGCUGGCGGCGUGCUUAACACAUGCAAGUCGAGCGGUAAGGCCCUUUCGGGGGUACACGAGCGGCGAACGGGUGAGUAACACGUGGGUGACCUGCCCUCAGCUCUGGGAUAAGCCCGGGAAACUGGGUCUAAUACUGGAUAUGACUCCAUGACGCAUGUUGUGGGGUGGAAAGCCUUGUGCGGCUGAGGAUGGGCCCGCGGCCUAUCAGCUUGUUGGUGGGGNGAUGGCCUACCAAGGCGACGACGGGUAGCCGGCCUGAGAGGGCGACCGGCCACACUGGGACUGAGACACGGCCCAGACUCCUACGGGAGGCAGCAGUGGGGAAUCUUGCGCAAUGGGCGAAAGCCUGACGCAGCGACGCCGCGUGAGGGAU